CCUACGGGAGGCAGCAGUGGGGGAUAUUGCACAAUGGGGGGAACCCUGAUGCAGCGACGCCGCGUGGGUGAAGAAGGGCCUCGGCGCGGAAAGCCCUGUCAGCAGGGAAGAAAAUGACGGUACCUGAAGAAGAAGCCCCGGCUAACUACGGGCCAGCAGCCGCGGUAAUACGUAGGGGGCAAGCGUUAUCCGGAUUUACUGGGUGGAAAGGGGGCGCAGACGGCGAUGCCAGCCAGGAGUGAAAGCCCGGGGCCCCACCCCGGGACUGCUCUUGGAACUGCGUGGCUGGAGUGCAGGAGGGGCCGGCGGACUUCCUGGUGUAGCGGUGAAAUGCGUAGAUAUCCGGAG
RNAcentral lists this ribosomal RNA (348 nucleotides) under uncultured bacterium. RNAcentral's name for it is "partial 16S ribosomal RNA". It matches the Rfam family "Bacterial small subunit ribosomal RNA", at positions 338 to 703 of the family's 1533-position model. The record is from RNAcentral.